AAUAGAUACCCUGGUAGUCCACGCCGUAAACGAUGGAUGCUAGCUGUUAUGCGUAUCGACCCGUGUAGUAGCGAAGCUAACGCGUUAAGCAUCCCGCCUGGGGAGUACGAACGCAAGUUUAAAACUCAAAGGAAUUGACGGGGACCCGCACAAGCGGUGGAGCGUGUUCUUUAAUUCGAGGCUAAGCGAAGAACCUUACCAGGGCUUGACAUCCUCGGAAUUUCUCCGAAGGGAGAGAGUACUUUAUUGGACCAAGUGACAGGUGCUGCAUGGCCGUCGUCAGCUCGUGUCGUGAGAUGUUUGGUUAAGUCCAUUAACGAGCGCAACCCUUAUGAAUAGUUGUAUUUUUCUAUUCAGACUGCCCCGGUAACGGGGAGAAGGGGGGGAUGAUGUCAGGUCAGUAUUGCCCUUACGCCCUGGGCUAGAAACGCGCUACAAUGGCCGGUACAAUGCGCUGCCAACCCGCGAGGGGAGCAAAUCGCAUCAAAGCCGGUCCCAGUUCGGAUAAGAGGCUGAAACUCGCCUCUUUGAAGCCGGAAUCGCUAGUAAUCGU
Molecule: ribosomal RNA, 553 nt
Filed under: uncultured bacterium
Lineage: Bacteria
Description: bacterial SSU rRNA
Rfam family: Bacterial small subunit ribosomal RNA
Source: RNAcentral